CCUACGGGGUGCAGCAGUGAGGAAUAUUGGUCAAUGGGCGAGAGCCUGAACCAGCCAAGUCGCGUGAGGGAGUACUGCCCUAUGGGUUGUAAACCUCUUUUGUCGGGGAGCAAAAGCCGGACGUGUCCGGCUGUGAGAGUACCCGAAGAAAAAGCAUCGGCUAACUCCGUGCCAGCAGCCGCGGUAAUACGGAGGAUGCGAGCGUUAUCCGGAUUUAUUGGGGUUAAAGGGUGCGCAGGCGGAUUUUUAAGUCAGCGGUCAAAUCGUGGGGCUCAACCCCAUCCAGCCGUUGAAACUGGGGAUCUAGAGUGUGCGAGAGGUAUGCGGAAUGCGUGGUGUAGCGGUGAAAUGCGUAGAUAUCACGCAGAACCCCGAUUGCGAAGGCAGCAUAUCGGUGCACAACUGACGCUCAGGCACGAAAGCGUGGGUAUCGAACAGGAUUAGAUACCCGGGUAGUC
Molecule: ribosomal RNA, 458 nt
Filed under: uncultured bacterium
Lineage: Bacteria
Description: partial 16S ribosomal RNA
Rfam family: Bacterial small subunit ribosomal RNA
Source: RNAcentral